GAGAAACUUGGCCAGCAAUAUUUUUGACUUUUGUCUCCCAAAUUUAUGUUCAUUCAGUUCUUCUUCCUCUUUUAUGUGUGGCACAACCUUGUCAAUUUGAAUUGCCAAAUGUCUAAUUUAUUUCUCAAUUUCACGACUCACCAUGUCAAGAAAUCUUUAUAAAUAGCCUGCUAAUAUUUAGUAAUUUGCAUUACCAAAACUCAAUUAAAAGAAUGAGUAAGAAAAAUAAAUAAACCAUUGAUGAAACUUGAAGCUUUUUCCAUCAUUUUCUCUCUCCUCCUUUAACCACCGCGGCUCCACCGAUGCCACCACCUGCUUCCGGCGAAUUUUCCUUCCGCCCACUGCACAGAACCAGACCCGACGCCACCUUCUUACCGAUCAUCGGAUUCCACCGUCCCUGCUGCACCGCGUGCUGCCAGGGUGUCGGAGCCGCUGACUCCAUUUCCUCUUUUUGGUGUUGCGUUGCUACUGCUUCUGAUCUUCCUCUUUGAAUCAAAAUCACCAAAAAUAAAAAGGGUUAAAGGGGUUUGGUAGUUGAAAGUGGGCCUUGAGUCCUAUUAUGGAAGCACUAUUAUUUAUGGGCUAAAGUCAACUAUUUUCCUGGUGGGUUUCGGUUACAAGGGCAAGCAAAGUUAAAAAUUGGGCUUAUCAAAUAAAACGUUUGGUGGGCUAUGGAAGAUACGUUUUGGAGUAUAAAGAUAUCGUCACUUUAAGGUUAUGGUGAUCGAGGUUCGACUAAGGAGCUCAAGUUGCUCAAAUGAGAGUUAUUACUAGAGUUGGUUAUUUAUUAUGAAGAUAUCGAGAUGAGAAAUUAUUUAUUAUGGAAAUCCUGUUACUGAGGUUGUUAUAAGAAUAUUGAUUUGUAUUUAUUUUUGGGAAAGUUGUAUUAUUUAUGGAAUGUUAUUAAGGAUUAUUUUAUUUGUGGGCCCAUACCCACAGGUCCCAGGAUUAUUUAUGUCUAAUUCCGCUGCUAA
This is a long non-coding RNA of Spinacia oleracea (spinach), 974 nucleotides long. RefSeq lists it as uncharacterized. The record is from RefSeq and is a predicted model, not a curated record. NCBI's taxonomy places the organism in Eukaryota, Viridiplantae, Streptophyta, Magnoliopsida, Caryophyllales, Amaranthaceae. The transcript is spliced from 3 exons.